This 204-nucleotide long non-coding RNA is filed under the name Elaeis guineensis (African oil palm). Its description in RNAcentral is "long non-coding RNA (EGUI_LNC043424)". Lineage: Eukaryota; Viridiplantae; Streptophyta; Magnoliopsida; Arecales; Arecaceae. The record is from RNAcentral.
UCCCGGGCUUCUCCAGAGAUAAGCUUCUUCGGUCGUCUAUCAGGCUGCUCCAAGUGCUCUCUGGAUUCUACUAUCGGUCGACCUCCUAUAAGGGUUAACCAUUCUCCGGACCUCUUUCAGAUCUUUUCCAACAGGAUUCAAUCGACUCCAAUCUGAAUUUCUUCCAAAACUUUGUCAGUUCGUCAGUGGCCGAACUUUCCCAAC